RNAcentral lists this long non-coding RNA (1221 nucleotides) under Piliocolobus tephrosceles (Ugandan red Colobus). RNAcentral describes it as "lncRNA (ENSPTEG00000022071.1)". Lineage: Eukaryota; Metazoa; Chordata; Mammalia; Primates; Cercopithecidae. The record is from RNAcentral.
CCUGGAGGCCAACACACUUCACCGCGUCCGCCUGGGGCAGGUCAGAUAAGGGACCCGAGGCAGCGCUAUCACCGGAUUCCGUGAGCCGCAGCGCCCUGGGCCCCGCUGAUCUUGUAUCAUUUCAGGGACUUUCUCUCCAGUCUUUGAUGGGGCCACACUCGGGGAGUAAAUUAGGAUCCUCAUUGAAGGGGCAGGACCCUGGGGGGCUUUUUCCUGGCCUGUUAGUUGUGGGUUUUCCUUCGGACGGCGGAGCCCCUUUCCAUUAGAACGGCCCAGAGGCAGGCGCUGCCUUCCCGGGGAGACGGAGCAGCAGGAAGCGUUUUCAGAUCCUGGAAUCCGUGGGCGGCCCGUGGGAGGGACUGAGGCGCAUUUUCCUACUCACCUGGCUCGGAAUCCACCGCGGUGCUGUUUAAAGAGAGUCAGAUUCCAGGUCGCGCUCCAGCCCGGACUCGGAAUUCCUGCCCCGCGGGUCUGCAUUUCACAGCGGCAGGUACCAGGGCGGGGUGACGGGUCAUCCCAGUCCUCGCAGUGAACUCCGGGCCACAGACUUGAAAACGCGCGCGGGCGCCCAGCGCAGCCUCGUCCUGAGUUACACAAGCGACCGUGCUGGGACGUUUCUCUUUCUUUUCCGGACCCAGCAGUGGCGCCUAAAGUCUGCGAGGAGAAAAUCUCCUGUGUGCUGGGCCCCACAGUCUUCAUUACAACCUCACAGUGCUGUCCCGGGAUGGAUCUGUGCAGUGAGGGUUUCUCGCUGAGGGACAUCUGGAUGGUCAGCCCUUCCUGCUCUAUGACAGGCAGAAAUGCAACGCAAGGCCCCAGGGACAGUGGGCGGAAGCGGUUCUGGCAGCUGAGACCUGGGACAUGGAGACUGAGGACUUGACAGAGAACAGGCCGUACCUCAGAAGGGCCCUGGUACAUAUCAAGGGCCAGAAAGGAGAGCCACUGGAAAAAGACAGCGGGUCAAGGACUGAAGAGUCCAGUGUCAUAAUCUGGGGAAGCAGUGGGCCCUCUGACAGAAGCCUGAACCUGGGUGGGUGUCAGGCAGGAGAGGAAGCCCCAGGGCCAAGGCUGCCCCAUCUGCCUCCCAGCCUGCCCAUUCCAAAGAGUUCCUCUGGCCCCAUGUACCAGGAGCCCAAUCCUGACCUUCCCCUCCUCAGCAUCAAUGCAGGGAUCCCAGAGCAUAAAGACACAGUCUUGAGGCCCAUCCUUCUGCCAGCCUAG